GAUGACGCGGCGGCAUGCUUACACUGCAAGUCGAACGGCAGCGGGGGAGAAGCUUGCUUCUUCCGCCGGCGAGUGGCGAACGGGUGAGUAAUACAUCGGAACGUGCCCUGUAGUGGGGGAUAACUAGUCGAAAGAUUAGCUAAUACCGCAUACGACUGAGGGUGAAAGUGGGGGACCGCAAGGCCUCAUGCUAUAGGAGCGGCCGAUGUCUGAUUAGCUAGUUGGUGGGGUAAAGGCCCACCAAGGCGACGAUCAGUAGCUGGUCUGAGAGGACGAUCAGCCACACUGGGACUGAGACACGGCCCAGACUCCUACGGGAGGCAGCAGUGGGGAAUUUUGGACAAUGGGCGAAAGCCUGAUCCAGCAAUGCCGCGUGUGUGAAGAAGGCCUUCGGGUUGUAAAGCACUUUUGUCCGGAAAGAAAUGGCUCUGGUUAAUACCUGGGGUCGAUGACGGUACCGGAAGAAUAAGGACCGGCUAACUACGUGCCAGCAGCCGCGGUAAUACGUAGGGUCCAAGCGUUAAUCGGAAUUACUGGGCGUAAAGCGUGCGCAGGCGGUUGUGCAAGACCGAUGUGAAAUCCCCGAGCUUAACUUGGGAAUUGCAUUGGUGACUGCACGGCUAGAGUGUGUCAGAGGGGGGUAGAAUUCCACGUGUAGCAGUGAAAUGCGUAGAGAUGUGGAGGAAUACCGAUGGCGAAGGCAGCCCCCUGGGAUAACACUGACGCUCAUGCACGAAAGCGUGGGGAGCAAACAGGAUUAGAUACCCUGGUAGUCCACGCCCUAAACGAUGUCAACUAGUUGUUGGGGAUUCAUUUCCUUAGUAACGUAGCUAACGCGUGAAGUUGACCGCCUGGGGAGUACGGUCGCAAGAUUAAAACUCAAAGGAAUUGACGGGGACCCGCACAAGCGGUGGAUGAUGUGGAUUAAUUCGAUGCAACGCGAAAAACCUUACCUACCCUUGACAUGCCACUAACGAAGCAGAGAUGCAUUAGGUGCUCGAAAGAGAAAGUGGACACAGGU
Molecule: ribosomal RNA, 1021 nt
Filed under: Ralstonia mannitolilytica
Lineage: Bacteria; Pseudomonadati; Pseudomonadota; Betaproteobacteria; Burkholderiales; Burkholderiaceae
Description: bacterial SSU rRNA
Rfam family: Bacterial small subunit ribosomal RNA
Source: RNAcentral